UACAAUAAGCCUAGGUUUCUGCAGACAUUCCGUGUCAGUAAGAUACGGACUCCGUUACAUAACAGUGGGAAGAAGACAUAACGAGGACCAUCGAUAUCAGAAAGAAGAAAGACAGCAACCAGCCACCCGGGACCACUGCCUUUUCCCUUCGAGAGUUGCCGUGCUUGAAUUUCCCUUGCUGCCACUUGUCAGGUGUAUCAUUCGUAUCGACCACAGCUCGUUGUUCACGGCUAGCUUUCCUCCAUCUCCUGCGACGUUGAUACCUCUCCUGAUGAAUGGGCUUGAACACUUGCAGCCACCCACGGAAUGUAUUCUUUGUCUCGAUUGGCUUCUCACAUGUUUCAGAUGUUGCCUUUGAUCUUCUUUGGUCGCUGGCAUCUCCAAGCAUCCUUUCUUUUCGUAUCAGUGUUGAUGGCA
Molecule: long non-coding RNA, 417 nt
Filed under: Hordeum vulgare
Lineage: Eukaryota; Viridiplantae; Streptophyta; Magnoliopsida; Poales; Poaceae
Description: long non-coding RNA (HVUL_LNC013554)
Source: RNAcentral